Molecule: long non-coding RNA, 4199 nt
Filed under: Sus scrofa (pig)
Lineage: Eukaryota; Metazoa; Chordata; Mammalia; Artiodactyla; Suidae
Description: lncRNA (ENSSSCG00025051050.1)
Source: RNAcentral
ACAGGAACCAAGAGGAAUUAAGAUUCUUACCAUGACCGUCUCUGCGAUCUCUGCCUGCAGAGUCUGGAGGAAGCCAGGGUGAGAUGGCCAUUGUUUUUCUUUGUCUCUCUCUUCUGUGCCAUCUGUCAUAAGGAGGCAAACCAUAGGACAGAACACAGGCAUAGAUUCUGCAAGCCUGUUGUUCAAGCUGGCCUCACGGACUGAUAAAGGAAAUACUUCCUCUUAAGCGAUCUAUAACUUAAAGAAACUUAGUAAAAUUUUUUCUCAUACGUUUCCUCAUACAUUUUUCUCCUUACUUGAUUCCUCCAGAAUUUGAAAACUCUUAAUGAGUAUUCUUAUUUUCAUGGCAAUAUAGUUAUUUGCAUAAGUUCAGUAAGAAUCUGUUCUCCUUAUAACAGGAUUCAAUUGGAAACAUUGAUGACAUUACCAAGGCUUUGACUGGAAUAGCUUUUUUUCUUUUUAGGGCCCCACCCAUGGGAUAUGGAAGUUCCCAGGCUGGGGGUCAAAUCAGAGUUGUAGCUGCUAGCCUACACCACAGCCACAGCAACCCAGGAUCUGAGCCGCCUCUGUGACCUCAUGGCAAUUCUGGAUCCUUAACCCACUGAGCAAGGCUAAGGAUCAAACCCGCGUCCUCAUGGAUACUAGUCGGGUUCACUACCACUGAACUACAAUGGGAACUCCCUGGAAUAUCUUAAAUGGGAGGGAUAUGCAUGGACUCAGAUGUGACCAGCCAGAAACUAAAGGUUAACUUUAUGGAGUGAAUAAAGACUUUUGGAAAAAUCAGGCCUGAGACCUUGCUGCAGGGUUCCCAGCAGCCUUGCCAGGUUAGUAAGGUCACCUUCGAGCAAGCUCAGGAACCUCAGGAUAUUUGAAGGACCUUAUGAAGAUAGGAAUUGACCCAGAGUUACAGGUAUUUCAGGCUAAAUGUGAUGGGAAUGCUUGGUUUGACUUUCUAGCCCAAGAGGAUUUUAAGAGUUCAAUAGGAGAUUCCUUAUGAAAAGUUCUAGCAAAGCAGAUUAAAAAGAACCUAUAAAGUUAAUCGCUAUUAUUGCUGCACUUAGGUAAAUAAUCAGGCCAAGUUUAGUAAAACUAAACUUGCAAUCAAAUUAGUCUUAUUGUGGUUAUCUUUAAUAGAAAUGUGGCGAUUGAAGAGAGAAAACAUUUAAUAAUACACCUUUAUAGAUACCAGAUUCCAGUGCUCUUAAUUAUCGUUGAGGCUUUGUUUUCCACCCAUAAACUAACUGGAUCCUGGAUUCUUCUAGUUUCUCCCACAUUUUGCUACAAGUCUUCAAACUAAUAUUUCUAAUUUUCUCUCACCCUUCUGACCUGGAAUCACUGAAAACUGUAACUGCCCUUUUUCCCAAAGCCUUGCAAGCUAAAGUGGGAGAACAAGAUAGAAACUUCAGAGAAAUCACCACAACAGCUCAAUCUUUGUGUCUGCUGCUAGAUGGCCACUCAGAAAGAACACCAGAGACACUUAAACCACAACCAGGAAAACUGGUCGGAUUACCAUUGCCUGUUGGCUUGCCCUCAUUCCAUCUGAAGAUACUUCAAGCCUGACAUCUAGAAAUCUUGACUGGCUGCCUUCAGAACUCAGAAACUGGGAUUACAGAUUUUUUGUUUUGUUUUGGUUUUUGGUUUUUUUCCUAGUCAUUAACCAUUUGCUUUUAUUUCUAUAGAAAUGCCUCCUAUUAAUGACUUGAUUGCUUGUACACCAUGGGUCUAACUUUGGGAGCCUGCCUGCAUUACCACCUCCUGAAAAGAGCUUAACUGAACUGACCUAUUGUCAGGACUAAGUCUGGUUCAGUGAGAUGGAGCAAAUUAGCAACUCAAAUUCUGGACUGUUAAACUUCUUGGGGAGGUUUUGGAGACAGGGCUGAGGGGAAGCAGAAUAUAUGACCCCAAUAUGUGCCACUUUGGCUUGUGGGUUAUUUUGAGCUGAAGGCAGUUGAGACCCAGCAGACUCAGCAAGAGCUUUAUAUCUGUCCCUUAACUACCCAAAAGAGUUUAGAGGGCCUAUACCAGGAAGAGAGCUAUUACCAGAGAUAACAUUUGUAUCAGAAAGACUUACUUGCCUGACAUUGCCAAUAUUUGUUUACCAAACUUUUGCUCUUUUCAUCUUCCUCCCCUUUCGAAGCUCCAGCCCCCUACCCCCUUUUUCCUUAGCUCAGAAUGAAAGAUAAGCCUCAACUGUUUGACUGUCUUUGGGUCUCUAUGUCUAUGGGAAUCAUGAAGUUAAAUUUGUUUUUAUCGUGUUAAUCUGUCCUAUGUCAAUUUAAUUAUUGGACCAGCCAAAGAACCUAGAAGGGAAGAAAGGGAAGGUUUUCCUCCCUUGUAUCAUUUAUCUACUUGGGUCUUUAAUGGUUUUGAUAAUAGCUCUGUAUACUUAGGAUGUUAAUCCUUUGCUCUUUGAUUUCAUAGACUUAUGCAUGUGGCCAAAAGAAGUAGCAAAGCUCUAGACUAUACUUAGAAAUGCCAAACAUCACAGUUUCCUAGGGAAAGAACUUCUGGGACAAUGGUCCUGGGGGAAUGUGUGGUGUAUUGGUGUAGCUGACACAUUUUCAGGAGCCAUACUGUAAUGUCUCACACACAAACCUUUCUCACUGGCGAGUACAUUGUGAUACCAAAGCCAGAACUUACCUUAUGUUUAAUUUAUUGUUCUUCCCCCACUUUUCUCUGUUAUGCAAAUUUAGUCGUAAUACUAGUCUCAAGAUUUUGCUUUUAGCUCAGCACCUUUUGCCAAAUCAAUAACACUAACUCACCCAAACAGCUCAGGUCUUUGUGAACACAGAUCAUGUGGUGAACAAUUACUCAUAUGUAUUUUCUGAUCAUUCAUUCAGAUAAUGAUUAUGAAGGAUGUUUACGCCCAAAGUGAAUUAUUAUAAAAAUUGUCAGAAAGUCAUCUUCCAUCAUUAAUUUAUGGUUCAGUUAAGCUAAAAAGUACAAUAAUAAUAUCUUUGAUUACUAAAGUCACAAUAAUAUUCCUUUGGGAACAAGCACCACAGUGUCACUAGAUAUGUUGCUAUACCUUUCUGGAGCCCAUACACAAAUCUUGUCUCCAGGUCACAAGGGAGCAGAGGAGGAGAUAUCUAAAUUUUGUGCUCUAUGUGAACUGAAGUUUGGCACUUGCCAUCAGCCUCUGCAUGGAGUAAAACACGAGCCGCUGCAGCCACCAACCCGCAGCACCCCCUGAGUGAGGAGUGAGGCACUCUGUACUCUGGGAAAACUGGGAGAAUGGGCCUUCAGAUAGUUCGAUAUUUAUUUUAGGGAGAAGAUUUUACGAGCCCAAUUCUUGCAUCUCCUCAUAUCUAGAAAAACACUAAAAUCUGUCAAUGAUGACUAAUGUCUGUGACUAGUAGUCACCUUCACGAGACCAGCAGAAAAUGUCUAUAAAACGUGUGCCUGGCUGCAUGCACCUCCCCCUCACCUUUAUGACUUGAUACUCUCCCUUUCCUCUUUGGGGCAGUAUUUCAAAGCUAUCUGAAAUACUGCCUCCUGGACUGCAGUUAGCGGGCAAAACAAAAGAUGUCAUGGUCGCCUGUGAGGACAGCCACUCCCAAAGGUGGGCCAAUGAGCCCUGAGAGAACUCAGGAAGGGAUAUCAAAGGAGUGAGUUCUGUAAACCCAGACCUUGACAUCUUCCCAUAGGAAUGGUUUUCUGUGAAUCUGGUCAUCUAUAAAUCUUUUCUUCCUAAUACCUCUCCAUUGUUGCAAAAACUCUUAUAUCCUAGCUUCACUCCUCGCCUCCUCACCUCCUCUGAGCAGUUUUCAUGGGGCUACCUGAGAUGCUGUCUCCUGGGCUUAAAUCCUAAUUUUGCCCCAAAUAAUUCUUAGCUUUCAACUUUCAGGUUGUAUUUAUUUUUUUUAGUCGACAUCUAGUUGGCCAGGUUCCUUUGCUUUGUAGUUCUCUGAUGUGCAGUUCUAUCUCAAGGCUCCGCCUCCACCUCGCCCAUGCUGGUCUAGACAGAACUGGAAACAAUGGUGACUGUGGUGGCAGUGGUGGAGGCUGGGGGUAAAGGAGGCUGUUCAUCUUCUCGGAGACAAUUCUAAUGAUGGAUCCUGGCAUUCCCAUAAACUCAUACUAUUUAGAGCAGAAUCCGGGGCUUUUCUUCUUGGUAGCCCUCAAAUCCACUAAAGCUGUACUUUGUUCAUACAUGAUGGGUGCUCAGUAAAUGUCUGGAAUGUAAGCAUGGAGUUAAU